GCGGGUGGUAGUCCUUGGAGAUGAUUCAAAACCACGAAAAAGUUCACCAAGGAAGGUUUUCACCAGUGGGGAAAGCAAACCUUAUUUUAAUCACUAUGAUAAUGGGGGUGGUUGGUGGGACGAGAAUAUGGCAGGCGUUGACAACGAAGAAGUCGGCUGCAAUGAUGUUUGGGAAGGAGUAGGCUGCACCACACUCGGGGGCAUUGAAUGGAAUUAGCAGCUGACGGUAAGACUCCUCGCUUUUGCACCUCGACUUUCUGUAUGAGUAGUACUAGUUGUUGUAUUAGUAGCAGUAGCAGUUAUAGCAUAUUUUAGACAUGUUUUGAGAAACUAUGCUCUUAAACUGAGUUGCAGAUUUUGUAUGGAAAUGGUUUACUCUGGUU
Molecule: non-coding RNA, 383 nt
Organism: Salvia hispanica
Lineage: Eukaryota; Viridiplantae; Streptophyta; Magnoliopsida; Lamiales; Lamiaceae
Source: RefSeq, a predicted model, not a curated record